GAUGAACGCUGGCGGCGUGCUUAACACAUGCAAGUCGAACGGAUUUAACAGAAAGCUUGCUUUCGGUUAAAUUAGUGGCGGACGGGUGAGUAACGCGUGGAUAACCUGCCGUAUACAGGGGGAUAACACUUAGAAAUAGGUGCUAAUACCGCAUAAGCGCACAGUUUCGCAUGAGACAGUGUGAAAAACUCCGGUGGUAUACGAUGGAUCCGCGUCUGAUUAGGUAGUUGGUGGGGUAACGGCUCAUCAAGCCGACGAUCAGUAGCCGGCCUGAGAGGGUGAACGGCCACAUUGGGACUGAGACACGGCCCAAACUCCUACGGGAGGCAGCAGUGGGGAAUAUUGCACAAUGGGGGAAACCCUGAUGCAGCGACGCCGCGUGAGUGAAGAAGUAUUUCGGUACGUAAAGCUCUAUCAGCAAGGAAGAAAUACCGACCUUUGGUCGCUAGACGGUACUUGACUAAGAAGCCCCGGCCAACUACGUG
Molecule: ribosomal RNA, 485 nt
Filed under: uncultured bacterium
Lineage: Bacteria
Description: bacterial SSU rRNA
Rfam family: Bacterial small subunit ribosomal RNA
Source: RNAcentral